This 426-nucleotide ribosomal RNA is filed under the name Triticum aestivum (bread wheat). Its description in RNAcentral is "partial small subunit ribosomal RNA". The record is from RNAcentral. Lineage: Eukaryota; Viridiplantae; Streptophyta; Magnoliopsida; Poales; Poaceae.
AUGAAGUCUAUUGUCCACUCGUUUAUGUUUCUUUCCCCUUUCUCUUCUUCAAGCAGGGAGAGACAAGGAGCAGCACCGCAACGGAGGAGGGGACGACUUGUCGGUCGUGCCUAUAGUGAAGCUCCGCCGUGGCUGCAUCGUAGCAUUCCCGUGCUGCAUAGCAGCUCCCCCGUCGUCACCGCGCUGCAUCGCGAACUUCUACCAUGGCCGCCGCGUGCUGCAUCGCACCACCCGUCGCCAUCGUCGCUGCGUCGCACCACCCAUCGCCACCGACGCUGCAUUGCAGCAUCCCGCGCCGCAUCGCAGCUCCUGCCAUGGCCGUCUUGUGUUGCGUUGCAACACCCGUCGCCGUCGGCGAUGCAUCACAGCAUCCGCCGUCGUCGCCGGCGCUACAUUGCAGCUCCCGCCAUGGCCGCCGCGUGCUGA